Molecule: ribosomal RNA, 547 nt
Filed under: uncultured bacterium
Lineage: Bacteria
Description: bacterial SSU rRNA
Rfam family: Bacterial small subunit ribosomal RNA
Source: RNAcentral
UGGGGAAUAUUGCGCAAUGGGGGGAACCCUGACGCAGCCAUGCCGCGUGAAUGAAGAAGGCCUUAGGGUUGUAAAGUUCUCUCGGUAUUGAGGAAGGUUGAUGUGUUAAUAGCACAUCAAAUUGACGUUAAAUACAGAAGAAGCACCGGCUAACUCCGUGCCAGCAGCCGCGGUAAUACGGAGGGUGCGAGCGUUAAUCGGAAUAACUGGGCGUAAAGGGCACGCAGGCGGUUAUUUAAGUGAGGUGUGAAAGCCCCGGGCUUAACCUGGGAAUUGCAUUUCAGACUGGGUAACUAGAGUACUUUAGGGAGGGGUAGAAUUCCACGUGUAGCGGUGAAAUGCGUAGAGAUGUGGAGGAAUACCGAAGGCGAAGGCAGCCCCUUGGGAAUGUACUGACGCUCAUGUGCGAAAGCGUGGGGAGCAAACAGGAUUAGAUACCCUGGUAGUCCACGCUGUAAACGCUGUCGAUUUGGGGGUUGGGGUUUAACUCUGGCGCCCGUAGCUAACGUGAUAAAUCGACCGCCUGGGGAGUACGGCCGCAAGGUUA